UACGUAGGGGGCAAGCGUUGUCCGGAUUCAUUGGGCGUAAAGAGCGUGUAGGCGGCCAGGUAGGUCGGUUGUGAAAACUGGAGGCUCAACCUUCAGAGGUCGACCGAAACCAUCUGGCUAGAGUCCGGGAGAGGAGAGUGGAAUUCCUGGUGUAGCGGUGAAAUGCGUAGAUAUGCGGAGGAACACCGAUGGCGAAGGCAAUCCCCUGGGCCUGCACUGACGCUCAUGCACGAAAGCGUGGGGAGCAAACAGG
RNAcentral lists this ribosomal RNA (253 nucleotides) under uncultured bacterium. RNAcentral describes it as "partial 16S ribosomal RNA". It matches the Rfam family "Bacterial small subunit ribosomal RNA", at positions 524 to 776 of the family's 1533-position model. The record is from RNAcentral.